This 397-nucleotide long non-coding RNA is filed under the name Androctonus crassicauda. The record is from RNAcentral. Lineage: Eukaryota; Metazoa; Arthropoda; Arachnida; Scorpiones; Buthidae.
CUCUCCCUUACCUCUACCCCUAGACAGGGUUUCAUGAAUUCCAAGCAGGGGCCUCAACUCACAUUUAGCCAGGAAUGAUCUUGAACUGACCUCCUGAGUGCUGGGGUUACAGGUGUGAUCACCUUGCUGCUUUAGGAGGUGCUGGGAACAACCCAGGGCAUCGUGUGUGUUAAGCACACACUCCCAGCUAAGCUACAUCCCCAGUCCCUCUUUCUAGAAAACAUCAUUAGUUAAAUAUAUUCAGGGGAGAAGAGGUCACAGGUCUGGCCAGCUGCCCCAUCCUUUAGUGCAGGGUCAGCUCCCAGAACUGCUCUGCUCUGCUCUGCAAGCUGGUGAUUCUCCUUACCUGUGAUUACUCCAGAUCUGCCUAUUUCCAAGAUGCCACAGAUCGGAAGAG